Molecule: small RNA, 28 nt
Filed under: Bombyx mori (domestic silkworm)
Lineage: Eukaryota; Metazoa; Arthropoda; Insecta; Lepidoptera; Bombycidae
Description: ovarian small RNA-10813
Source: RNAcentral
AAUCUUUAGAGGAGGCCUUUGUCGAGAG